CUUCAGCGACCCGAGCCACAGCGGCCGCUCCCGGCCCUGGCCGUAGGUGGCGAUCAGUGCCUGCGCCUC
RNAcentral lists this antisense RNA (69 nucleotides) under Streptomyces sp. VN1. RNAcentral's name for it is "ASpks TB sRNA". It matches the Rfam family "ASpks TB sRNA". The record is from Rfam by way of RNAcentral. Lineage: Bacteria; Bacillati; Actinomycetota; Actinomycetes; Kitasatosporales; Streptomycetaceae.